CCUUCGGGGUGAGUGGCAGACGGGUGAGUAACGCGUGGGAACGUGCCCUUCAGUUCGGAAUAACCCAGGGAAACUUGGGCUAAUACCGGAUACGUGCGAGAGCAGAAAGAUUUAUCGCUGAAGGAUCGGCCCGCGUCUGAUUAGCUGGUUGGUGGGGUAAUGGCCCACCAAGGCGACGAUCAGUAGCUGGUCUGAGAGGAUGAUCAGCCACAUUGGGACUGAGACACGGCCCAAACUCCUACGGGAGGCAGCAGUGGGGAAUAUUGGACAAUGGGCGCAAGCCUGAUCCAGCCAUGCCGCGUGAGUGAUGAAGGCCUUAGGGUUGUAAAGCUCUUUCGUCCGGGACGAUAAUGACGGUACCGGAAGAAGAAGCCCCGGCUAACUUCGUGCCAGCAGCCGCGGUAAUACGAAGGGGGCUAGCGUUGUUCGGAAUCACUGGGCGUAAAGGGCGCGUAGGCGGCUUUGUAAGUCGGGGGUGAAAGCCUGUGGCUCAACCACAGAAUUGCCUUCGAUACUGCAUGGCUUGAGACCGGAAGAGGUUAGUGGAACUGCGAGUGUAGAGGUGAAAUUCGUAGAUAUUCGCAAGAACACCAGUGGCGAAGGCGGCUGACUGGUCCGGAUCUGACGCUGAGGCGCGAAAGCGUGGGGAGCAAACAGGAUUAGAUACCCUGGUAGUCCACGCCG
Molecule: ribosomal RNA, 684 nt
Filed under: Microvirga sp.
Lineage: Bacteria; Pseudomonadati; Pseudomonadota; Alphaproteobacteria; Hyphomicrobiales; Methylobacteriaceae
Description: bacterial SSU rRNA
Rfam family: Bacterial small subunit ribosomal RNA
Source: RNAcentral